AGUUUUGGGAGAUCAGUGCGAUUAGCUUUGGCCGUUUGGCGGCCAACCUUUUCCCAUCCGCUUCUUUGAACACACCCUCUCUCUCUCUCUCUCGCGAUCUACCAAAUUAUCCCUGGUUUCCUACGGCGCGACUUGAAUCGUUGAUUGAAUGUGCUCUGUCGAGCCAAUUUGGAUAUCUUCCUUCGAUGAUUCGAAGUCCGAAUAACUUUGGUGUCAAAGGGGCGAAUCUCUCAAUUCUCGUCGGAUAUUUGUUAUAGCAGGCGAAUUGACUGUAUCUGUGUAUCUUUGAGGUGGUUCCGGCGCAUCCGAGAGUUGUCUUGGGAGAACAUUGGCUUUUCCGGGAAAAGUGAUCCAUGGAGUAUGACCCAUCCGAUAGUAGCGGAACUGAUGAUGAUCUUCCACCAUCUCAUUACAAUAGGGGUGCAAGAGGAGGACGUGUAUAUGGGAAUGGAAGAGCUACUUUUGGUGCUAUUCCAUAUUCUAAUGCACCAAAUGAUAUGGAGGUCCAAAUACACUGGCUUGAGCAAGAUUCAUAUAGUUCAGUUCUUUGAGCAUUUAAGGCUCAAUCUGAUGCCAUUACUUGGUUUGUCCUCAAGAGAAGGAAAGUCUUAUAACUGAGCUCAGAAAGGAGCUGAGGGUGUCAGAUGAGGAACAUGGAGAACUGUUAAGCAAUGUUAAUGCUGAUGGCAUCAUUUGGCGAAUAAGGAAUGGAGUCAAGCAGGUGGACUCCAAACUGGAACGCUUAGUAAUUCUCAACCAGAAAUAACAAUACCAAGUCCUACUGUAUCAGCAUCUUGAAAGAGGCAGAAGACAUCUCAGCUAUACCUUCUCUCACAUUAGGUGCACCAUCUCCUGCUCUGCAAUCACAGCUUGCUGCUUCCAUGCAGCCAUCAUUAUCAGCUUCAAAAAGAGGAGCUGCUGCAGGAACCAAAGGCAAGAAGCCUAAAUCAGGAUGCACAUAGCCCGGUGCAUCUUCUGCAAAGUCCAUGCACUACCCUUCUGCAGGUCUCAGUGGGAGGGGCCAAAUUGCCAAUGAGAACUAUUCUGGUGCUGUUGUGGCAGGUCUGCAUGCUUUAGUUGAUGAUACUGACAUGUAUAAAGAGACACGGGAAUGGAUCAAUCUCAAAGAGAUUUGUCCAGAAGAUAUAAGAUGGGAGGUUGAGGAGGACCCAGGCAUUGUUCUUCAGUCUGGUCAAGUUGCAUCAUGUCGUGGGGUUAAGAGGACCACAGCCCGUGGUGGUGGCAUUCCAGGUGCAGGUAGGGGUAGAGGAUCACUGAAGAAUCAGAAGAAAGAUUUUCUUCUGUCCCAAAAUAGCAUUGCAAGAAGAGAACUGGAAACAUUGAAAUACUCCAAACUGACACUCUAAUAAAAGAAGUAGAGAAACUUCUUGGUGCAAGUCAUCCUGAUCCUCUCGAGAUUGAGAAAGCCCGGCAAAUGUUAGAAAAGCCUGAACAGGCAUUGAUUGAUGCAAAUGCAAACCUAGAUGAUGCCUAUGAUGGCGAAAGAGUAUAGCCCAAACUCCAGUUCAGUUCUCACAUGGCAAACCCAUGGACAAAGAUCAAGGAUGGAGAAAUCCAAUGUAUGGUGGGAACCAGCAUGGAGCUAAUUACAACCAUGACAUGGCUGUCGAUGUUGGAGAAGGCUCUGAGGAUGAUCGAAUGGUUGCAGGCAGUAUCGCAUUGGGUUACCAGCAUCAUGCUACUGAUGAUGACAUGUAAGCUUGUAACCAACCUGCACUGAAUCUUCCACCACAUAGUAUGUCCACAGGGAUCCCUAACCAUGUAAAUUGCUUUAGCUAAGAUUCAUUUCUCACACGUGAGAAAUUAAUGGUGCCUUGAUCCUUGGUUGAAAACAUCUCCUGUAUGAGUUGUUUUCAUAAUUGUAUCUGAAGAGAGCAUCUUGGGGAAAUUUGGCCUUUGAUCAUUUCAGUGAUAGAUUAUUAUGCUCUUGUGAGUUGUUUUGCAUUC
Molecule: RNA transcript, 1968 nt
Organism: Musa acuminata AAA Group (dessert banana)
Lineage: Eukaryota; Viridiplantae; Streptophyta; Magnoliopsida; Zingiberales; Musaceae
Gene name: protein EMSY-LIKE 3-like
Exons: 10
Source: RefSeq, a predicted model, not a curated record